GACGAACGCUGGCGGCGUGCUUAACACAUGCAAGUCGAGCGGUAAGGCCCUUUCGGGGGUACACGAGCGGCGAACGGGUGAGUAACACGUGGGUGACCUGCCCUCAGCUCUGGGAUAAGCCUGGGAAACCGGGUCUAAUACUGGAUAUGACUCCAUGACGCAUGUUGUGGGGUGGAAAGCCUUUGUGCGGCUGAGGAUGGGGCCCGCGGCCUAUCAGCUUGUUGGGUGGGGUGAGGCCUACCAAGGCGACGACGGGUAGCCGGCCUGAGAGGGCGACCGGCCACGACUGGGACUGAGACACGGCCCAGACUCCUACGGGAGGCAGCAGUGGGGAAUCUUGCGCAAUGGGCGAAAGCCUGACGCAGCGAGGCCGCGUGA
Molecule: ribosomal RNA, 378 nt
Filed under: uncultured bacterium
Lineage: Bacteria
Description: bacterial SSU rRNA
Rfam family: Bacterial small subunit ribosomal RNA
Source: RNAcentral